This 19-nucleotide small nuclear RNA is filed under the name Arabidopsis thaliana (thale cress). RNAcentral describes it as "snRNA_11212". The record is from RNAcentral. Lineage: Eukaryota; Viridiplantae; Streptophyta; Magnoliopsida; Brassicales; Brassicaceae.
AAGCGUGCUUGGGCGAGAG